This 301-nucleotide ribosomal RNA is filed under the name uncultured bacterium. RNAcentral's name for it is "partial 16S ribosomal RNA". It matches the Rfam family "Bacterial small subunit ribosomal RNA", at positions 509 to 807 of the family's 1533-position model. The record is from RNAcentral.
CAGUAGCCACGGUAAUACGAAGGGGGCUAGCGUUGUUCGGAUUUACUGGGCGUAAAGGGCGCGUAGGCGGACUGAUAAGUCAGGGGUGAAAUCCCAAGGCUCAACCUUGGAACUGCCUUUGAUACUGUUUGUCUUGAGUUCGAGAGAGGUAAGUGGAACUGCGAGUGUAGAGGUGAAAUUCGUAGAUAUUCGCAAGAACACCAGUGGCGAAGGCAGCUUACUGGCUCGAAACUGACGCUGAGGCGCGAAAGCGUGGGGAGCAAACAGGAUUAGAUACCCCCGUAGUCCCUGUCUCUUAUAC